AGCUCCAAUAGCGUAUAUUAAAGUUGUUGCGGUUAAAAAGCUCGUAGUUCGAGUUCAGUUCCGGACUGGCCGGGGAGGUCACCGCCCGGUGCUUCCCCGCCAGGCUCCGAACAGUAUCUUUGACUAGAUGCCACGCCGGAUUCGCCGGGGUGCUCUUUACCGAGUGUCCCGAGCGGCCGGUCAGUUCACCUUGAAUAAAUGAGAGUGCUCAAGGCAGGCUACUCCCAAAACUUAAGCCCGAAUGUUACCUGCAUGGAAUGAUGUAACAUGACCUCGGUCCCAUCUUGUCUGGUUCAUGGGUCCGAGGUAAUGAUAAACAGGGACUGUCGGGGGCAUCCGUACUACGACGCGAGAGGUGAAAUUCUGUGACCGUCGUAGGACGAACAACAGCGAAAGCAUU
This 400-nucleotide ribosomal RNA is filed under the name phytoplankton environmental sample. RNAcentral describes it as "partial small subunit ribosomal RNA". It matches the Rfam family "Eukaryotic small subunit ribosomal RNA", at positions 587 to 955 of the family's 1831-position model. The record is from RNAcentral.